Molecule: ribosomal RNA, 279 nt
Filed under: uncultured bacterium
Lineage: Bacteria
Description: partial 16S ribosomal RNA
Rfam family: Bacterial small subunit ribosomal RNA
Source: RNAcentral
UGCCAGCCGCCGCGGUAAUACGUAGGGACCAAGCGUUGUCCGGAAUUAUUGGGCGUAAAGCGCGCGUAGGCGGACUGGAAAGUUGGGGGUGAAAUCCCAGGGCUCAACCCUGGAACUGCCUCCAAAACUAUCAGUCUAGAGUUCGAGAGAGGUGAGUGGAAUUCCGAGUGUAGAGGUGAAAUUCGUAGAUAUUCGGAGGAACACCAGUGGCGAAGGCGGCUCACUGGCUCGAUACUGACGCUGAGGUGCGAAAGCGUGGGGAGCAAACAGGAUUAGAUA